Molecule: long non-coding RNA, 443 nt
Organism: Felis catus (domestic cat)
Lineage: Eukaryota; Metazoa; Chordata; Mammalia; Carnivora; Felidae
Exons: 2
Source: RefSeq, a predicted model, not a curated record
UCCAUCCGUGGAGAGGUUCCAAACUGGAGCUUUGUGGGACUCCAGCCUUCUUCAGGGAGGAACAGGCAGAAGGAUGCUGGAGGAGACACCGCUUUCCCACGGGACACCGUGUGCUAAGAGACUACGGAAGGACCCCCUGACAAGAGGUUUACAGAGCAGCCGUUGCUCAACUGGGGAAGCAGCUACGAGUGCGGGGUCUACAAGAGUGCACACAUCCGUCCCGCGAGAUGAUGCCCUCUGCCCGUGGGCUGGUCCUACAAGCAUGCCAUCAUUUCUGGGCAUGUGACCUUGAGAGGAUUCCUUAAGCUCUCUGGGCUUCAUCUGACCAUUUGUAAGAUGCGAUCAAAGCAAUCUCACGGACGAAUGGGAAAAGAAGAUGUGGUAUACAGACACCAUGGAAUAUUACUCGGCGACCAAAAAGAAUAAAGUCUUGCCAUUUGCAA